RNAcentral lists this unclassified non-coding RNA (31 nucleotides) under synthetic construct. The record is from RNAcentral.
CAGCACUGAUUGCGGUCGAGGUAGCUUGAUG